Molecule: ribosomal RNA, 466 nt
Filed under: uncultured bacterium
Lineage: Bacteria
Description: partial 16S ribosomal RNA
Rfam family: Bacterial small subunit ribosomal RNA
Source: RNAcentral
GAUGAACGCUGGCGGCGUGCUUAACACAUGCAAGUCGAACGAUGAAGCCCAGCUUGCUGGGUGGAUUAGUGGCGAACGGGUGAGUAACACGUGAGUAACCUGCCCUUAACUCUGGGAUAAGCCUGGGAAACUGGGUCUAAUACCGGAUAGGAGCGUCCACCGCAUGGUGGGUGUUGGAAAGAUUUAUCGGUUUUGGAUGGACUCGCGGCCUAUCAGCUUGUUGGUGAGGUAAUGGCUCACCAAGGCGACGACGGGUAGCCGGCCUGAGAGGGUGACCGGCCACACUGGGACUGAGAGACGGCCCAGACUCCUACGGGGGGCAGCGGUGGGGAAUAUUGCACAAUGGGCGCAAGCCUGAUGCAGCGACGCCGCGUGAGGGAUGACGGCCUUCGGGUUGUAAACCUCUUUCAGUAGGGAAGAAGCGAAAGUGACGGUACCUGCAGAAGAAGCACCGGCUAACUACGUG